This 433-nucleotide ribosomal RNA is filed under the name uncultured bacterium. RNAcentral describes it as "partial 16S ribosomal RNA". It matches the Rfam family "Bacterial small subunit ribosomal RNA", at positions 29 to 507 of the family's 1533-position model. The record is from RNAcentral.
AACGAACGCUGGCGGCAGGCCUAACACAUGCAAGUCGAGCGAGGACUUCGGUUCUAGCGGCGGACGGGUGAGUAACGCGUGGGAAUGUGCCCUUCUCUACGGAAUAGCCCUGGGAAACUGGGAGUAAUACCGUAUACGCCCUAUUGGGGAAAGAUUUAUCGGAGAAGGAUCAGCCCGCGUUGGAUUAGGUAGUUGGUGGGGUAAUGGCCUACCAAGCCGACGAUCCAUAGCUGGUUUGAGAGGAUGGUCAGCCACACUGGGACUGAGACACGGCCCAGACUCCUACGGGAGGCAGCAGUGGGGAAUCUUAGACAAUGGGGGCAACCCUGAUCUAGCCAUGCCGCGUGAGUGAUGAAGGCCUUAGGGUUGUAAAGCUCUUUCAGCUGGGAAGAUAAUGACGGUACCAGCAGAAGAAGCCCCGGCUAACUCCGUG